RNAcentral lists this ribosomal RNA (256 nucleotides) under uncultured bacterium. Its description in RNAcentral is "partial 16S ribosomal RNA". It matches the Rfam family "Bacterial small subunit ribosomal RNA", at positions 524 to 776 of the family's 1533-position model. The record is from RNAcentral.
UACGUAGGGUCCGAGCGUUGUCCGGAAUUACUGGGCGUAAAGAGCUCGUAGGUGGUUUGUCGCGUUGUUCGUGAAAACUCACAGCUUAACUGUGGGCGUGCGGGCGAUACGGGCAGACUUGAGUACUGCAGGGGAGACUGGAAUUCCUGGUGUAGCGGUGGAAUGCGCAGAUAUCAGGAGGAACACCGGUGGCAAAGGCGGGGUCUCUGGGCAGUAACUGACGCUGAGGAGCGAAAAGCAUGGGGGAGCGAACAGG